Erinaceus europaeus (western European hedgehog) is the source of this 35-nucleotide ribosomal RNA. Lineage: Eukaryota; Metazoa; Chordata; Mammalia; Eulipotyphla; Erinaceidae. The record is from Ensembl.
AACACACCCGAUCUCGUCUGAUCUCGGAAGAUAAA